This 447-nucleotide ribosomal RNA is filed under the name uncultured bacterium. RNAcentral describes it as "bacterial SSU rRNA". It matches the Rfam family "Bacterial small subunit ribosomal RNA", at positions 355 to 825 of the family's 1533-position model. The record is from RNAcentral.
UCGGGAAUUUUGGGCAAUGGGCGAAAGCCUGACCCAGCAACGCCGCGUGAAGGAUGAAGUAUUUCGGUAUGUAAACUUCGAAAGAAUAGGAAGAAUAAAUGACGGUACUAUUUAUAAGCUCCGGCUAACUACGUGCCAGCAGCCGCGGUAAUACGUAGGGAGCAAGCGUUGUUCGGAUUUACUGGGCGUAAAGGGCGCGUAGGCGGCGCGGUAAGUCACUUGUGAAAUCUCUGAGCUUAACUCAGAACGGCCAAGUGAUACUGCAGUGCUAGAGUGCAGAAGGGGCAAUCGGAAUUCUUGGUGUAGCGGUGAAAUGCGUAGAUAUCAAGAGGAACACCUGAGGUGAAGACGGGUUGCUGGGCUGACACUGACGCUGAGGCGCGAAAGCCAGGGGAGCAAACGGGAUUAGAUACCCCUGUAGUCCCUGAGCGGGCUGGCAAGGCGCAU